This 1608-nucleotide ribosomal RNA is filed under the name Salmonella enterica subsp. enterica serovar Cotham. RNAcentral's name for it is "partial 23S ribosomal RNA". It matches the Rfam family "Bacterial large subunit ribosomal RNA", at positions 1213 to 2802 of the family's 2925-position model. Lineage: Bacteria; Pseudomonadati; Pseudomonadota; Gammaproteobacteria; Enterobacterales; Enterobacteriaceae. The record is from RNAcentral.
GCUGAUGCGUUGUUGGGUAGGGGAGCGUUCUGUAAGCCUGUGAAGGUGGCCUGUGAGGGUUGCUGGAGGUAUCAGAAGUGCGAAUGCUGACAUAAGUAACGAUAAAGCGGGUGAAAAGCCCGCUCGCCGGAAGACCAAGGGUUCCUGUCCAACGUUAAUCGGGGCAGGGUGAGUCGACCCCUAAGGCGAGGCCGAAAGGCGUAGUCGAUGGGAAACGGGUUAAUAUUCCCGUACUUGGUGUUACUGCGAAGGGGGGACGGAGAAGGCUAUGUUGGCCGGGCGACGGUUGUCCCGGUUUAAGCGUGUAGGUGUGUGUUCCAGGUAAAUCCGGUUCACUUUAACACUGAGGCGUGAUGACGAGGCACUACGGUGCUGAAGCAACAAAUGCCCUGCUUCCAGGAAAAGCCUCUAAGCAUCAGGUAACAUCAAAUCGUACCCCAAACCGACACAGGUGGUCAGGUAGAGAAUACCAAGGCGCUUGAGAGAACUCGGGUGAAGGAACUAGGCAAAAUGGUGCCGUAACUUCGGGAGAAGGCACGCUGACACGUAGGUGAAGUGAUUUACUCAUGGAGCUGAAGUCAGUCGAAGAUACCAGCUGGCUGCAACUGUUUAUUAAAAACACAGCACUGUGCAAACACGAAAGUGGACGUAUACGGUGUGACGCCUGCCCGGUGCCGGAAGGUUAAUUGAUGGGGUCAGCGCAAGCGAAGCUCCUGAUCGAAGCCCCGGUAAACGGCGGCCGUAACUAUAACGGUCCUAAGGUAGCGAAAUUCCUUGUCGGGUAAGUUCCGACCUGCACGAAUGGCGUAAUGAUGGCCAGGCUGUCUCCACCCGAGACUCAGUGAAAUUGAACUCGCUGUGAAGAUGCAGUGUACCCGCGGCAAGACGGAAAGACCCCGUGAACCUUUACUAUAGCUUGACACUGAACAUUGAGCCUUGAUGUGUAGGAUAGGUGGGAGGCUUUGAAGUGUGGACGCCAGUCUGCAUGGAGCCGACCUUGAAAUACCACCCUUUAAUGUUUGAUGUUCUAACGUGGACCCGUAAUCCGGGUUGCGGACAGUGUCUGGUGGGUAGUUUGACUGGGGCGGUCUCCUCCUAAAGAGUAACGGAGGAGCACGAAGGUUGGCUAAUCCUGGUCGGACAUCAGGAGGUUAGUGCAAUGGCAUAAGCCAGCUUGACUGCGAGCGUGACGGCGCGAGCAGGUGCGAAAGCAGGUCAUAGUGAUCCGGUGGUUCUGAAUGGAAGGGCCAUCGCUCAACGGAUAAAAGGUACUCCGGGGAUAACAGGCUGAUACCGCCCAAGAGUUCAUAUCGACGGCGGUGUUUGGCACCUCGAUGUCGGCUCAUCACAUCCUGGGGCUGAAGUAGGUCCCAAGGGUAUGGCUGUUCGCCAUUUAAAGUGGUACGCGAGCUGGGUUUAGAACGUCGUGAGACAGUUCGGUCCCUAUCUGCCGUGGGCGCUGGAGAACUGAGGGGGGCUGCUCCUAGUACGAGAGGACCGGAGUGGACGCAUCACUGGUGUUCGGGUUGUCAUGCCAAUGGCACUGCCCGGUAGCUAAAUGCGGAAGAGAUAAGUGCUGAAAGCAUCUAAGCACGAAACUUGCCCCGA